This 577-nucleotide ribosomal RNA is filed under the name uncultured bacterium. RNAcentral describes it as "bacterial SSU rRNA". It matches the Rfam family "Bacterial small subunit ribosomal RNA", at positions 390 to 961 of the family's 1533-position model. The record is from RNAcentral.
AUGCAUGCCGCGUGAGUGAAGAAGGCCUUCGGGUUGUAAAGCUCUUUUGUCAGGGAAGAAACAGCAGCUCUAAUACAGUUUGCGAAUGACGGUACCUGAAGAAUAAGCACCGGCUAACUACGUGCCAGCAGCCGCGGUAAUACGUAGGGUGCAAGCGUUAAUCGGAAUUACUGGGCGUAAAGCGUGCGCAGGCGGUUAUGUAAGACAGGCGUGAAAUCCCCGGGCUUAACCUGGGAAUUGCGCUUGUGACUGCAUAGCUAGAGUGUGUCAGAGGGGGGUAGAAUUCCACGUGUAGCAGUGAAAUGCGUAGAUAUGUGGAGGAAUACCAAUGGCGAAGGCAGCCCCCUGGGAUAACACUGACGUUCAUGCACGAAAGCGUGGGGAGCAAACAGGAUUAGAUACCCUGGUAGUCCACGCCCUAAACGAUGCUGACUAGUUGUUCGGGAAUUUAUUCCUGAGUAACGUAGCUAACGCGUGAAGUCAGCCGCCUGGGGAGUACGGUCGCAAGAUUAAAACUCAAAGGAAUUGACGGGGAACCGCACAAGCGGUGGAUGAUGUGGAUUAAUUCGAUGCAACG